RNAcentral lists this long non-coding RNA (1402 nucleotides) under Ornithorhynchus anatinus (platypus). RNAcentral's name for it is "lncRNA (ENSOANG00000036219.1)". The record is from RNAcentral. Lineage: Eukaryota; Metazoa; Chordata; Mammalia; Monotremata; Ornithorhynchidae.
CUCCUCAUCUACCCUUCCAUGCCUCAGUCUAGGAAACGUCGUGGUAAAUCUCAGAGUUUAAGCAACCUGGAUGCAGAAUGCCAGCUUGGAUAGACACACUACCACAUGCACAUCAUUCUGGCUGGAUCUUAGGGGCAGAAGCCAGUUGGCAGCACAGUUUCCAGCCAAUUCCAAACUGCAAAACUUCCAGCUGAGCUCAUCCUUGCCUUCAGAUGGUAUGGAGCUUGUCGCCCUAUUGGCCUAAAGUCAGACCCUUCUCAGAACAUAGGCAGACCUGAGCAAGUCUAUAGUUUAUAUAGCUGAAGUUUAUAGCUCCCUCCCUCCAGCUGUCUGAGUUGAAAUUCCAGACUUGCUCAUCCCAGCCUCUAGGACCCGAGACUUUCCAAUCAGGGUUGACAAGAUCCAAAAUGGUGGUUUUCUGGCCGUUAGCUCUUUGAAGACUUUUCUCUGCCGGUACCCCCACCCUCUAAAAUCUCUACCCUCUACUUGCCCUAAACUCAAAAUGAGAAGCUGUCAGGCACCUGUGUUUAUAAAUAGGUGGCCACAUGACUGGGGAAGUCCUUAGCAAGAGGAAAUUUUGCAGCGUGACCUAGUGGAAAGAGCAUGAGUCUGGGAGUCAAAGGAUCUGGAUUCUAAUCCCAAUUCUGCCUUUUCCCUCUUGUGUAAGCUUGGGCACAUUACAUAACUUCUCUGUGCCUCAGUUUCCUCAGCUGUAAAAUAGAGAUUCAAUACAUUUUCUCUCUCCUACGUAGACUGUGAUCCCCAUGUAGGAUAGAGACUGUGAUUGACCAGAUGAUGUCCCUACCCCAGAACUUAGUGCAGUGCUUGGCCCACAAUAAGCACUUAACAAAUGCCACAGUUAUUAUUAAAUGUUGCUUGAUAAAGUGGAUUCGUCCUGGCAGCUACUGAUCUUUAGUUCAUUUGAUCUCCCCCUUGCAAAUGGUUAUUGGCAGUUGAAACUGAAAAUCUUGAGUUAGUUCCCUUUUGCAAAUUUCAUUUACAUUUAAAUUGUGCAUUCUUCAAAAGGAUAGGGUUGGUAAAUAACUGAAGAUUAAACUUUAGUAGUUGAAAUUUUGUCUGGUAUCCAACCUGCAAUGGAAGUGACAUCUGGCUUUUACUAUUUUGUAGUUAAUUAGGUUUAAUACUGCCAUGUGUCAUUAAGGGGAGUACAUUUCUUUUAUCUGCAUUUUAAUGAAAGAAAGAAGCUCUCAAGAUUUGGAUACCUUAUCAUGUUGAAUGUCUGGUAGAUUGGCAAUUGAAAUAUUGCUUCCCUUUGGAAAUGGGAAUAAAACAUCUUGCAACCUCUAGAAAAGAAACAACGACAACCAAAAAAGCCCUAAGCCAUGUCAAAUCAGCGAAAGCAAAGUGGAAGGUUGUGCAAUUAAGCAAGAAGUAUAGGCAA